RNAcentral lists this transfer RNA (71 nucleotides) under Amborella trichopoda. It matches the Rfam family "tRNA". From Rfam's summary of the family: Transfer RNA (tRNA) molecules are approximately 80 nucleotides in length. Their secondary structure includes four short double-helical elements and three loops (D, anti-codon, and T loops). The record is from Rfam by way of RNAcentral. Lineage: Eukaryota; Viridiplantae; Streptophyta; Magnoliopsida; Amborellales; Amborellaceae.
UCCUCAGUGCUCAGUGGUAGAGCGAUCGACUGUUAACAAACUGGUCGUAGGUUCGAAUCCUACUUGGGGAG